RNAcentral lists this ribosomal RNA (500 nucleotides) under uncultured bacterium. Its description in RNAcentral is "partial 16S ribosomal RNA". It matches the Rfam family "Bacterial small subunit ribosomal RNA", at positions 28 to 507 of the family's 1533-position model. The record is from RNAcentral.
GACGAACGCUGGCGGCGUGCCUAAUACAUGCAAGUCGAGCGGACUGAUUAAGAGCUUGCUCUUAUGACGUUAGCGGCGGACGGGUGAGUAACACGUGGGCAACCUGCCCUGUAGAUCGGGAUAACACCGAGAAAUCGGUGCUAAUACCGGGUAAUAUCUGAGAUCACAUGAUCUUAGGUUAAAAGAUGGCUCCGGCUAUCACUACAGGAUGGGCCCGCGGCGCAUUAGCUAGUUGGUAAGGUAAUGGCUUACCAAGGCGACGAUGCGUAGCCGACCUGAGAGGGUGAUCGGACACACUGGGACUGAGACACGGCCCAGACUCCUACGGGAGGCAGCAGUAGGGAAUCUUCCGCAAUGGACGAAAGUCUGACGGAGCAACGCCGCGUGAGUGAUGAAGGGUUUCGGCUCGUAAAGCUCUGUUGUUAGGGAAGAAACAGUACCGAACGAACUAGGUCGGUACCUUGACGGUACCUAACCAGAAAGCCACGGCUAACUACGUG